GCCAUGGCCACGCCUGUGGCACCCGGCUGCGCGACGAGCACUUCCUCAAGGGAGGCUGCAGCCAUGGGAUGGGCAAGAGGUUGGACGUGCCCAGGGUUGGAUCGUGUCAGACAAGAAUUCCACGUGGGCGAGGGGCCAGGGGGCUGAGCGUGUGUGGGGAGCGUGAUGAAAACGAAGAACGCUACCCUCGUAUGGACAGAAGUGAGGCUGCAGAAGGUUCUGGAUCUUUGGACUCAGCUGUACAUGGAGAGAGGCAAAGAGGCAACGACAACAGCACAGAGAAGACGUCUCCUCUUCCUCGAGCUGUUCGUAUGUCACUUCUUAUGGUGGAAACUUCCCCAUCAGGGAACCAGACCACCCAUCUGCUGGUUGUCAUACUGUGGUUUGGCUGAGUUGCUGUGAUGCUGACAGCUAUGCUACCCGGAUUUCAAAUACCAGAAGGGUCACCCAUGAUGGGCAGGUGUCAGUGGAGCUUCCAGACUAAGACAGACCAGGAAGAAGGACCUGGCCACCCACUUCUGAAAAACCUGGCCAUGAAAAUCCUGUGAGUAGCAGUGGAGCACCGUCUGAAACAGCGUGGGACGUGAGAGGACAGCUGAGAAAGACCAGGCAGGGUCCCCUCUGCUGUGCACAGGGGCACUAGGAGUUGGAAUCAACUUGACAGCACUGACGACGACGACGGUGG
Molecule: long non-coding RNA, 685 nt
Filed under: Equus caballus (horse)
Lineage: Eukaryota; Metazoa; Chordata; Mammalia; Perissodactyla; Equidae
Description: lncRNA (ENSECAG00000052542.1)
Source: RNAcentral